This 83-nucleotide small RNA is filed under the name Marmota monax (woodchuck). The record is from RNAcentral. Lineage: Eukaryota; Metazoa; Chordata; Mammalia; Rodentia; Sciuridae.
GCCAGGUGUGGUGGCACAUGCCUGUAAUCCCAGCAGCUUGGGAGGCUGAGGCAGGAGGAUCACAAGUUCAAAGCCAGCCUCAG